Molecule: long non-coding RNA, 898 nt
Organism: Corythoichthys intestinalis (scribbled pipefish)
Lineage: Eukaryota; Metazoa; Chordata; Actinopteri; Syngnathiformes; Syngnathidae
Exons: 4
Source: RefSeq, a predicted model, not a curated record
CUAGAGAGCAGUGCUACGGCCACUUGUCUUCACGUCAGUCUGCACGAAAGGACAUCAGGAUGGUGAAAUGUGCUUUUUAGAACUUGUGGAAACAUACAGAAGAAAUGGACAAAAGAAAGUGUCCACCGCUUCCCUGUGAAGAACGAGGAACUACAUAAACUUUGGUUACUCUCUGCUGGAUAUGACAUUGACACACCGGUGGAAAAAGGACUAAAAUGGCGAAUUUGCAGCAAGCAUUUCGCAACAACCGACAUCAGGAAAACAUUUUGUGGCUACUCUCUCCUGAAAUCAAAUGCUGUGCUUUCGACUGCCCAAACAGCUUCAAGAUCUUCUGAUAAACAGGUAAGAUCUGCUGUACCACAGUCCACGCCAGUGAAGGAUACCACAUCAACAUCAGGCCAGCCGAGGACAAUUCAACAAUCAUCACGAGUGACCUGGAGGUAUACCACCGUGCGAUGCUGAAGUACACCCAAAAGAGGCUCCACUUUGUCUGUAACUCCAUGAAGGCAAGGACACUGAUGUCUGUUAUGGACCACAAUGAAAAUGUCGGGCGCCAGCAACAGAGGAACGCUGAUGGCACUUUGAAAUACAGCUCGGAGUUUCCAAAGCAAACAAAAAGAUGGGUUGCCCGGAGCAGUUAGGAGCCAACAACGCAGACAUUCACAGAGAAUUUGGUGGACGCGUGUCCUGGAAAGACGGCAGGAUUCAUCAUUAAAGUUUGCUGAGCCAGACUUCUAUUUCAAGCCUCCAGCUACUAUUCCACCGAACAUUGUAAACAUCGAAAGGCCUGACAAAGAAAAAGUUAUUUUACAACAUGUCAGUCGCUUUAAAAAAUAAGUAGGCAGACAUUUUCCUUUUUUUUUUUUUAAUAGAUAUUUUAUAAUGUAGAUAUUUUUGA